UUUGGCAUCAUGUUUUUGUCUAUGUCAAGAAGGCUAAUUCUGCUGGAAAUUGAGUUUAAUAAACAUUGGGUCGACAUAUAUUUAUUUUGACAUAUAGGUCACAUAGUAGAAUUCAUGUGUGCAUAUCUUUUAAAGCAACAGUUGAGAUCUGUAUUAUUUCAAAGCGUGUGCAAGAAUACAAAUAUUUCUAUUUAAAGAUUUUUCUGCCAUCUUUGCACUGGUGCGUUUACGAAUGGAUUGUGACAAUUUGUCCUUUUCAAGUUUCAUUUCUUCAAGAAUUUAUUUUAAGACGGUUCCAUAUAGGCUAACAUGUCUUCCUGAGUAAAAUGUUUCUUUUUCCAAAAGUUUUUUUUUCUGUCAAUUUUGAUGACUGU
This 374-nucleotide long non-coding RNA is filed under the name Mytilus galloprovincialis (Mediterranean mussel). Lineage: Eukaryota; Metazoa; Mollusca; Bivalvia; Mytilida; Mytilidae. The record is from RNAcentral.